UACCGUGAGGGAAAGGCGAAAAGAACCCCGGCGAGGGGAGUGAAAAAGAACCUGAAACCGUGUACGUACAAGCAGUGGGAGCCUCUUAAUGGGGUGACUGCGUACCUUUUGUAUAAUGGGUCAGCGACUUAUAUUCUGUAGCAAGGUUAACCGAAUAGGGGAGCCGAAGGGAAACCGAGUCUUAACUGGGCGUUAAGUUGCAGGGUAUAGACCCGAAACCCGGUGAUCUAGCCAUGGGCAGGUUGAAGGUUGGGUAACACUAACUGGAGGACCGAACCGACUAAUGUUGAAAAAUUAGCGGAUGACUUGUGGCUGGGGGUGAAAGGCCAAUCAAACCGGGAGAUAGCUGGUUCUCCCCGAAAGCUAUUUAGGUAGCGCCUCGUGAAUUCAUCUCCGGGGGUAGAGCACUGUUUCGGCAAGGGGGUCAUCCCGACUUACCAACCCGAUGCAAACUGCGAAUACCGGAGAAUGUUAUCACGGGAGACACACGGCGGGUGCUAACGUCCGUCGUGAAGAGGGAAACAACCCAGACCGCCAGCUAAGGUCCCAAAGUCAUGGUUAAGUGGGAAACGAUGUGGGAAGGCCCAGACAGCCAGGAUGUUGGCUUAGAAGCAGCCAUCAUUUAAAGAAAGCGUAAUAGCUCACUG
Molecule: ribosomal RNA, 647 nt
Filed under: Escherichia coli
Lineage: Bacteria; Pseudomonadati; Pseudomonadota; Gammaproteobacteria; Enterobacterales; Enterobacteriaceae
Description: partial 23S ribosomal RNA
Rfam family: Bacterial large subunit ribosomal RNA
Source: RNAcentral